This is a non-coding RNA of Pelobates cultripes (western spadefoot toad), 267 nucleotides long. NCBI's taxonomy places the organism in Eukaryota, Metazoa, Chordata, Amphibia, Anura, Pelobatidae. The record is from the annotation of a GenBank genome assembly.
CACACUGCAAGAUGCUUGAAGUCCAGUGUGAAGUUUCCACAGUCUGUGUUGAUUUGGGGAGCCAUGUCAUCUGCUGGUGUUGGUCCAUUGUGCUUUAUUAAGUCCAGGGUCAACGCAGCCGUCUACCAGGAGAUUUUGAAGCACUUCAUGCUUCCUUCUGCAGCCAAGCUUUAUGGGGAUGCUGAACAACAAGGAGGGAAGACAGGAGAAAGUCUUAAUUUUGAUACAUAAUUGACACAAGCUAUAUCAGUAGCAAGUUGAUACAUU